CCCCCUCUCUCACAUUCAUUCUCUACUCACCCCAUCCUCUCUAUUCCAGCAAUCGACGUCGAGUGUAGAAGAUCCUCUGUUGGAGCCACGCUCGCCGAUCUACUGUCUUUUGUGGAGUAUUGAUACUUAGAAGGGAUGUCGCCAACUAGCAACGCUACAGAUCUGUGAAUGUCAGUGGAGGUGUCGCCGACCAGCAAUGCUGCCUCGCUACCUACGAUGCUGCACGAGGCUUCAUGCUAUGCUCUGCGACCCAGUAUGGCAGUGUUCGUGUGAUUUUGUCAUGGAUUUGGAGAUGAACGUCGAUAUGCUGUUUUUUGGUGGUUUUGUUAUUUUCGUCCUUCUUGGAUCUGAUUGGGAUAGUUUUGUUGGUGAUUGUUUGUGAUUUCCAAAUUGUGGUGGUCUUUUGUAGUUGCAAAUGGUGGAGAUGUGGCAUGGUGUUCGAUUGGUGGUGGUGAACAGUAGUGUGGGUGGUGGGGAGAAGGAUGGAGAUGGUGGUUGUGGUUGUGAUUGUGAUUGUGAUUAUUGAUACAAACUGUGGUGAUACUGGUGCUUGAAGUGAUGAUGAUGGUUAGAUGGUGUUGACGAGGGUGAUGGCACUAACGGUGACUAUGGUGGUUCGGUAGUGGUGGGGUUCGGGUUAUAUACAGUGGGAUUUGUAACCAAUUAUAAAAAUAUUUGUGACCAAUGAAUUUUCUAAUUUGUGAUUUUAG
This 710-nucleotide long non-coding RNA is filed under the name Olea europaea (common olive). Its description in RNAcentral is "long non-coding RNA (OEUR_LNC015154)". Lineage: Eukaryota; Viridiplantae; Streptophyta; Magnoliopsida; Lamiales; Oleaceae. The record is from RNAcentral.